ACCUGGAUGAUCCUGAGUGGUCUGGGGUUCAGGCUUCCAACCUGUAGCUGUCUAGCAACAGAGUGGUUCAAUUUCUCCUUUUGGGGG
Molecule: transfer RNA, 87 nt
Filed under: Procavia capensis (Cape rock hyrax)
Lineage: Eukaryota; Metazoa; Chordata; Mammalia; Hyracoidea; Procaviidae
Description: tRNA-SeC (TCC) (tRNA-SeC-TCC-1-1)
Source: RNAcentral